Long non-coding RNA from Thunnus maccoyii (southern bluefin tuna), 5091 nucleotides. RefSeq lists it as uncharacterized. NCBI's taxonomy places the organism in Eukaryota, Metazoa, Chordata, Actinopteri, Scombriformes, Scombridae. The record is from RefSeq and is a predicted model, not a curated record. The transcript has 2 exons.
UUUUAUUCACGGUCAAGAGGGGUUACCCCAUCUCUGUUGCCUCUCACUGUCUGAAUGUACAGGCUUAGGAAAUGAGAAACAAACUGAUAGACAGGGGGAGGAUAGAGUUUUCUCUCCUCUGUUUGUUAAAGCACGUCCUUCCUGUAAUUAUCUGAAAGUGCCCACACACACACGAUGUGCAGCAUUUCUCAACUCAACCAGGGGAGGUUUCUUUCCUUGAACCCUCGCACUCACCGUACAAAGAGUCAAUAAGCUUUUGAUAUGUCUGUGUGGAUUUGUGGGUUGAGUCCUCACUAUUUGUCAUAGCCGUCUAUAGCAUGUCACACGCCAACAGCAGAAGUCUCCCUGGUGGUAUCCCUGACAGGCUCUUGAUCAGUCUUCAGUGUUUCUGAAUUGCUGAAUUUGGACUGGUUCCUGUAAACUCAUGCAAGCCUCUCUGUUUGCCAGUGGUUGUACAGCUUCCCAGACACCGUGCAAGUCCUGAGAGUAGCCAUUCUGACAGAUGUCUUAGUCAUCUCAUAACAGUUACAUUGGCUACAUGUCUUGGACAGUUUUUUGUUUCACGUGCAUAUUGAAGGCAUUAGUAUGAUCUGUCCGCAGGUAAGGUACCACAUGAGUUGCCUCUGAAUCCUGAAGCCUGAGAAUGAAGUACACCGCUGUCCCAGUCUCCCCCACCUCCAUCCCCGUCUUCUGACCCCCUUGGUCCUGCUCUUGUGGACAAGCACGUUUGUUAUGUCUGUUUGUGAAGGGAACAGGGACACAGUUUCCAAGAAGGAGCGAUAGGAGGGAGAUAUCUGAUAUGUUGCUGAAUGAGCGGGGUCAGGUUGGCUAUUCUGAAAAUGUUGGAAAACACAUCUGUGUGACAUGCUGGGUAGAUUUUCAACAUCACAGUAUGUUGUCUCGCCUGCCAUGUGCGUGAUGUUGUAAGGUCCCAUCUGUGUUCACAGCAAGCAGUAAUCACUUAAGGAGGCCAAAGUAAAUUUUAAUCUUAAUCUGCAGGUUCCUUAAAUGAAUGCUAUAUACUGGUUUCAAAAAGAAUAUCAAACUCCAGCCUCUUUCCCAAAAUAUAAAGUCAGUUUUUUUUUUCCCACAAGAGGUUUGGGUCUCGUCUGUUUUUUACGAGUUCAAUUUUAACUCUUGAGGUUUUCUAACAUUUCCCCACAUGCAUGACACAUUCGUUCGUGAAGAAAUAUGAACAGUUUCUUUGUAACCAUUACAGAGGGAUACUUAAAAAAUCCCAACAUAACAAUGUCUCAAAGGGUGUCUGCAAGCGACAAAAUAACCCAGAGGUCUGUCAUAAUCACAGGAAGCCCAAGAAUGCAGCGACCAGCUAGCCAGAUAUCAUGGUGAUGGGACCAGUAUUUUGAUUAGACCCACACAAUUUGUUUGUUUUGAUGCUUGUCUGCAUCUUGUCAGAUUACCACCAGCCAAACACAAGUCAAGACUGCAGGUGGUGGGGUAGACUGCACUAUAGGGUGCCUUUUUUUUUUUUGGAAGAUUGGCCUUGGAAAAUCUGCUGUGGGGAAUUUGUGUGAAAUUUUGUGGCAGUUUGUCACUGCGGACGCAUCUGUUUUUAAAAACGUCAGGAAAAGCUCGUGUUUGUGCAAAAUGCCAAAAGUAGUAACUGUCUGAGAAAUAUGAGAAAUACAAGCCCGUUCUUUGAGUGUCUGUGCAAUACCACAACACAAAUUACUGUAUGUCUCUGUGUUUAGGUUUCAUACUGAAACUACACCAACUGGCUGUGUACUUUUGUGUGCACAAGUGGGUGGAAUACCAAAACUUAAACCUCUGUGGUGUGUUUUUUUUUGUUUGCUUCAAAUUUUCCUUUUUCUUACUAUAAGACCCUGUCAUUGCUACUGUAUUUCAUCUUCUGCUGAGUCCAGGAUCAGGAUGCUUCACUGUGUGUUUUUCUGCCCGUGGUGGCUCUCUGACUCAUGCUGAAUGGAGGCCAGUUCAGAGAGGCAGAUGAUAGCCGGAAAACACCAACCCUGCCCACUCAGUAAUCCUGCCACUCCCUGCUAUCCUCCUCCUACUGGCCGACUUUACCAGGCCCAUCACAGCACAGAAAAAACACUGCUCUCAGUAAAGGAGACACUCUUAAAGUCCUUGACUGUUUGUAUCCAGGACUUUUGUAGGAGAUCUGAGGGUUCGUAUGAUCAAGGAAAAAUCAUUUGAAAACAGCAAUUCCCAGGCCUGGAGAAGUUUUGGAAAAGUAAAUAAAGUCAUGGAAAUUUUGCUUCACAAAUACCUGUAUAAUAGAGUAUAUGUGAGAAAAAUCUAUAUUGGUCAAACAAUAGGGUUGGGCCAAUGUAAAAAUUUUCAAACAGGUUUGAUAUUAAGUCAAAAACUGGACUCAGAUGUUUACAAUUUGAAUGUUGGCCCUAUGGAACCUAGUCUCCAGGUCAUGGAGGUGGUCCAGGAGUGAAUUAUUCUGUGUCUGCAGUGAAUUUAUGGUGGUUUCAGCUGCGGUGAGUCUUUCAAAAUUUUCCCCAGCCAAUGCCUCUGUGUGGUCGAGGCGGCUCGGGGAAGCAUUUAUUUGUUCGCAAAGUGAGUCUACGGAGGACAGGAUGGAUUGACGUCUUAAUCAGGGUAGACAUAUCUUCUCUGAGACUGCCUCGCUGUCUGUCCAGCUCCGUCAUCAGGUGGUCUGAGUACUAACGUUAAUGUAAUACAAGUUGGAUUUAGAGGAAUCAGGAGAGGUUGCUGAUGUAGGCUGGUUUUUACUUUGCCAGAACAUCUCAUAAUGACAAAUGCUGGUUGUGAUGACCCCCCGAGUCAUCUCGUGUUGUUUUGUGGUUCACCUGUCUCUUUGUUCACCCUGCAAGUGGAUCAUUAGGGUAAUCUGGAACACCUGGGGGCCCUGGGCUGUUCCCAGGUUAUUCAAGCCUGGCUGCAGUGCAUCUUCCUCCCUGUCUGCCAUUCUGCCUCGCGGCUGCUGCAGCUGCAGCUCUCUCUUCCUUUCCCCUUUAGGCAACCAUUUGUUUGAUUUAGUACGUUGUGCUAAUUUAUUCUUAUGACUUUGUUUUGCACCUUACAACACACACACACAUCUCACACUCAUGCAUGCCAUACACUACUGAUGCUACUGAUAUCUACACCCCAAACAAGGGACCAUUUCGGGUGCUGUGUAUCUAUGUACUUUUGGACUGGCUCCUUCUUUUGAGAAACUGACUUUGUCCAAAGUAUUGAAGCAAAGAUUGUAUGUCAUCUUAUGUUAUGAAAGCCUGAACCACUUUUUACAGGCUAAACAGUUAGACAUGCAUGUCAGGCGAUGGCACAGGCCCGAGGUGAAGACUAAAUACAUCAGCUCAAGAUAUCACUGAGAAAAUGAGGAACUGACUUUCAGGGAUCAGAAUCAUGAAUCUCAUCCAUCUCAUCUCAUCAAAUCUCAAUGGAUGAGCUCAUCUUGAAUUGGAAAGUGUUUGAAGUACUCCAGAAGCAAAUGCAGAACGAUGUGAGGAAGUCACUAAUCAGCAUCGGUUCGUGCGGGUUGCACAUACUGCCCAAUGUGUUCAGAGAUAGAUGUAAACCCACCGGAUGGGAAGUUGAACACGGACUCUCUAGCCUGUACUGGCUGGUCCACGAUCGUCCUGCCUGUCACAGGGAUUUUAUGACAGCAACUGGAUGUAACACGCCCAUGCUUAAGUUUUGCAAGCACCAGUGGAUUGAGAAUGUCAACGUGUCACAGAGGAUUGCUACUCUGGCCGCGUGUCAAACACUAUAUCGAGAUGGUAGGGAGAGGUGAACUACCCGAUCCAAAAGUGAAAGUGGGAAUAUUGCAAUUGCAAGAGAAAUCAACCCCUUCCUUACCAUGUAUCAAGCAGACCUUCCUCUCUGAGGACAUGUACAAACUGAUUAAAGAUUCAGAUUUCUGAAGGAAAAAGACCCGCAAGAGGCCACAUCCACACUGAAGCUCCUCCAUGUCCCUUUUCAGGACAACAAUCUGCACAAGGACAGUUCUCAGAUUGAUAUUGGAUUUGCAGCAGAAGCCACCCUGAUCCAACUCAGGCCUCCCAAAAACAUUUCAGAAGCAGAGACUAGAGAUUUAAGAUGGACUGCAAGAAACUCUUGACCACACUCCUUGAAAAGUUUCUGAAAAAGGCUCCAGUGUAUCACACGUUAGUGAGAAGCAUGCAGUGCCUUGACCUGAGAUGCAUGGCUGAAUCUAAGGAGCUGUGCGUAAGUCAAAUUAAAAGAAUGUCGCACAUACUUGUUGAAGCUAAGACCACAGAUGAGGAAAUGCAUGAUGAUAUCCUCAAAGAGUUUUGGGAGUUCUGUUAUUCGGCUGCUCUUCGGGCUAAAUUCAGGGAAUUUGACCCCAAAACAGAUCGGACACCCUGCUGUCUGAGACAAUGGGGACAAAACCAUAAUUUUCCAGAGUGUGGGAUGUGGUCAAGAUUCUACUUGUCUCGUGGACAGACCAGUGUUGAGAGAGGAUUUUUCCAUUAACAAAUAAUUGUUUGUGGUGAAACAGAAGAAGUCUCUGUUGGCUCAGAGGCUCAUUGUUGACCAUGUCAGGUCUUUUGGGGGCAAAACUACGGUAGAGAUCACAGAAGAGCUGCUCCUUUUAGCUGCAGGAACCAGGCAGAAGUACCAUGGCUACCAGGAUGAAGAGAAGAGAAAGACUGUUGACCUGAAGCCACAAGCAAACUGACCUUCAUCACCAAAUGUAGUUUCCGUCAAACCGCAAAAGAAAAAAAAGCUGCUGAAGAUUGAAAAGCAUAUUGAUGAGAAGCUUGCAGAAAUGAAAAAAUAAACUGUGUGGAUUGUUUUGGGGGGAUUCAAACAGGGAAGGUUAUCUUCUGUUAAUGCUCAAUGAGGUUAAUGGUAAAUAGGAGGCAUAGUUGGUUUAAAAUGUUAUUAUGUAUUCAAAAACACAAUUUCUUUCUGAAACUACGGCACUUUGAAGUUAAUGUCAGUGUUAGUGGGCACUUUUAUUUCUUUAUUUAUUUUUCAAGCAUUGUUUCCUCCCAGUCAUUUAUGUUAAUUAGGGCUACACAAUGGAGUUCUUAGGGUUUGAGGACAUUUUAUUCUGUAAACCUAUUACUGGUGUGUCAGCAGUACUUAAAUAAAUGUUUAUUUUGUAUCAAA